GUGAACGCUGGCGGUAGGCCUAACACAUGCAAGUCGAACGGCAGCACAGUAAGAGCUUGCUCUUACGGGUGGCGAGUGGCGGACGGGUGAGGAAUGCAUCGGAAUCUACUUUUUCGUGGGGGAUAACGUAGGGAAACUUACGCUAAUACCGCAUACGACCUACGGGUGAAAGCAGGGGAUCUUCGGACCUUGCGCGAUUGAAUGAGCCGAUGUCGGAUUAGCUAGUUGGCGGGGUAAAGGCCCACCAAGGCGACGAUCCGUAGCUGGUCUGAGAGGAUGAUCAGCCACACUGGAACUGAGACACGGUCCAGACUCCUACGGGAGGCAGCAGUGGGGAAUAUUGGACAAUGGGCGCAAGCCUGAUCCAGCCAUACCGCGUGGGUGAAGAAGGCCUUUGGGUUGUAAAGCCCUUUUGUUGGGAAAGAAAAGCAGCAGGUUAAUACCCCGCUGUUCUGACGGUACCCAAAGAAUAAGCACCGGCUAACUUCGUG
Molecule: ribosomal RNA, 491 nt
Filed under: uncultured bacterium
Lineage: Bacteria
Description: partial 16S ribosomal RNA
Rfam family: Bacterial small subunit ribosomal RNA
Source: RNAcentral